This 82-nucleotide transfer RNA is filed under the name Planctomycetota bacterium. Its description in RNAcentral is "tRNA-Leu". It matches the Rfam family "tRNA". From Rfam's summary of the family: Transfer RNA (tRNA) molecules are approximately 80 nucleotides in length. Their secondary structure includes four short double-helical elements and three loops (D, anti-codon, and T loops). Further hydrogen bonds mediate the characteristic L-shaped molecular structure. tRNAs have two regions of fundamental functional importance: the anti-codon, which is responsible for specific mRNA codon recognition, and the 3' end, to which the tRNAs corresponding amino acid is attached (by aminoacyl-tRNA synthetases). tRNAs cope with the degeneracy of the genetic code in two manners: having more than one tRNA (with a specific anti-codon) for a particular amino acid; and 'wobble' base-pairing, i.e. permitting non-standard base-pairing at the 3rd anti-codon position. The record is from RNAcentral. Lineage: Bacteria; Pseudomonadati; Planctomycetota.
GCGAGGGUGGCGGAACUGGCAGACGCGCAAGACUUAGGAUCUUGUGCCUCACGGCGUGGGGGUUCAAUUCCCCCCCCUCGCA